GUGAAUCAUCGAAUUUUUGAACGCAAAUUGCGCCUUUUUCGGAAGGCAUGUCUGUUUGAGGGCACCAUUUAACAAAUAAUGUGCACCGUUUUGUGUGUGCACACGUUGAUGAGCUUUCUAGGAAAAAUUUUUUUUUUUUUUUUUUUUUGUUGCUUUUAAUUACCCCCCCCAAACCUUUUUUUUCCUUUCCUUU
RNAcentral lists this unclassified non-coding RNA (193 nucleotides) under Paraglomerales sp. RNAcentral's name for it is "partial contains 5.8S ribosomal RNA and internal transcribed spacer 2". The stretch from base 1 to 65 matches the Rfam family "5.8S ribosomal RNA", at positions 84 to 154 of the family's 154-position model. Lineage: Eukaryota; Fungi; Glomeromycota; Glomeromycetes; Paraglomerales. The record is from RNAcentral.